This 434-nucleotide ribosomal RNA is filed under the name uncultured organism. RNAcentral's name for it is "bacterial SSU rRNA". It matches the Rfam family "Bacterial small subunit ribosomal RNA", at positions 346 to 794 of the family's 1533-position model. The record is from RNAcentral.
GCGCACCAGUCGCGAAUUUUUCACAAUGGGGGAAACCCUGAUGGAGCGACGCCGCGUGGAGGAUGAAGGCCUUUUGGUCGUAAACUCCUGUCAUGCGAGAACAAGAAAGUGAUAGUAUCGCAAGAGGAAGAGGCGGCUAACUCUGUGCCAGCAGCCGCGGUAAUACAGAGGCCUCAAGCGUUGUUCGGAUUCAUUGGGCGUAAAGGGUGCGUAGGUGGCUUGUUAAGUUGAAGGUGAAAUCUCGGGGCUCAACUCCGAAACUGCCUUCAAUACUGGCGAGCUCGAGGAUUGUAGAGGAGAAUGGAAUUCACGGUGUAGCAGUGAAAUGCGUAGAUAUCGUGAGGAAGACCAGUGGCGAAGGCGAUUCUCUGGGCAAUUCCUGACACUGAGGCACGAAGGCCAGGGGAGCAAACGGGAUUAGAUACCCCCGUAGU